This is a long non-coding RNA of Betta splendens (Siamese fighting fish), 2097 nucleotides long. The record is from Ensembl. Lineage: Eukaryota; Metazoa; Chordata; Actinopteri; Anabantiformes; Osphronemidae.
AUGGGUCGUCAUUUGCCCCAGGGCCUUGUGAAGCUCUGGAGUCGCUUCAAGCGUUGGAGAAACCGGAGGAUCCAGCCGGAGCAGCCGGUGGGCGAAGGUGGUCCAGAUGGGCCUAACGGCGUCCACGUCCAUCCUUCACCCACUCCUCAGGUGGGUGACUCAUACACACCCCAUCCACCUUCUCCUCCACGCUCUCUUGUUUUUUGGUCUGCUGGUCCUUCUGUUUCCCCUUCACCCCCUCCUGUUCCUUGUUGCUUUGAUGUUCUUGCUUUUUCUCCUUCACCCUGUCCUACUCCUUCUUUUUCUUCUUCUUCUUUCUCACUCUCUUCUGCUUCCUCUGGUACUUGGUGCUCUGACAUCUUUCCCUUUUCUCCUUACCCUUCUCCUACUCCUUCUUCUUCUUCUUCCUCACUCUCUUCUGCUCACUCUGCUUCUCUGUGCUCUCCUCCUCACUCUCUCAUCUCUCCUUUUUCUUCUCCCUCGCCCUCCUCUGCUUACUCUGGUACUUGUUGCUCUGCUGUCCUUCCCUUUUCUCCUUCACCCUCUGCUGUUCCUAGUUGUUCUGCUGUCUUUCCUUUUUGUCCUUCACCCUCUCCUACUCCUUCUUCUUCUUCCUCACCCUCUUCUGCUUACUCUUGUCUUUGUUGCUCUGAUGCCCUUCCUUUGUCCCCUUUACCCUCUCCUGUGACGGAGAGAGUGAAGGAGCUCAUCCAGCAGCUCAUCUUCCAGGAGAGGUAAGGAAGACAGUGAUGAGGAGGGGGCUGCUCUUGGAAGACUCAACUGUGGGACACUGUUUCCUACAGUGAAACCAGUCUUGGAUUUGACCCCAGGGCACCUUUUUUGUAGUUUUAUCUCUAUACCAUAAGUUUAAAUGUUCAUUCCAACUUUGAGAACUAGCCUUUGCGUCUGGCUGGGCAGUUUUCAGGUCCCCGGCAGCGUCUGGCGCUGGGACCUUUCUUUCUUUCCUGGAUGAACACAAGUUUAAAUGUUAAUUUUUACCCUGAGAACUAGCCUUUGCGUCUGGCUGGGCGGUUCUCAGGUCCCAGGUAGCGUCUGGCACCUGGGCCAGUUUUUGCUGUUUUUUAUAUUUUAGCAUGGCGGUUGGAUGGACUUUUCUUUCACCCUGAAGGCUGAGUUCAGCGCCUGGCAGGGCCGUCGAUCCCCCCAUGCAAGUUGCCCUAGCGUCUGGCGGGGUAGCUAUUAUGUUUCCUCCACAGCGAUAGAAGGUCAGCUCAGUCACAGUGGCACUGGGGACACAUGUCGUCUCCCACUGAAGCUCCUCGGUGGCAGAUGACUGCAGUGUCAGGUGUUAUGGAGGAGACACAUGGCGAGACGAGGGAACCAGGAGAUGAGCAACGGUGAAUUCAACUACAAUGUUCUUCAAGUAUUUCUCUGAUCUAUUUACUCACUCUGUGUUCUAAUGCUUUCACUUUACCAGAGACAACCAAUCUGGACCAAGAGCCGGCAUUCCAAGCAGCCCGGACCUAAGCUGUCAAACCGAUCGCAGGAACCACAGCUGCACAAUUACGUUCAGUAAGAAUGACACGUCCUAGCUUAUUCGUAGUCUGUACUUUACUUCAUGUGCUCCUGAAGCCAAUGUUUUCAUUUUGGUUGCGACAGGUGCAGCUGUGGAGGCUGGAGAACUGUGACAACAGAGACCAUAGGACCACCUGGAGAGAAGUUGUCACCUGUGUCUAUGGAGGCUCAAUGCAAUAAGUAAUUUACCUGAGUAGUAAAGUUGUGGUAAGCUUAACAUCACAAUGCAGACUUGUAUGUUAACAACACAUCUGUUUAUGAUGUUUCUUCUAGCAUCCUGCAGCUCUUCGCUCUCUCCAGCCUCUGGUCCAGACAGAGGGGAGCCUCCCAGUCCUAAUCACAUAGAGGAAGUGUCUUUAUCACUGCUUUCUCUGUGCUGCUGGGUUUGGGAGACUCUUCACAUAACCAGUGGUGUUGGCCUCCAUCUGUAAACAGAAGACGGUCAAGACAAGUGGUUGUCAUAAAUACUGUGUGUGUAUAUAUAUAUAUAUAUAUAUAUUUAUAUGUAUAUAAUGUCAUUAAGAAAAUAAAAGAACUGCUUUGUCUGAAGAUGCUAUAGAU